Molecule: unclassified non-coding RNA, 299 nt
Filed under: Hevea brasiliensis (rubber tree)
Lineage: Eukaryota; Viridiplantae; Streptophyta; Magnoliopsida; Malpighiales; Euphorbiaceae
Source: RNAcentral
CAGGCAUGGAUCGGGCCAUUGAAGAUGGUGUGGACGUGCUCUCGCUUUCUCUUGGUGGCGGAUCCGUUCCGUAUUACCGCGAUACCAUUGCCAUUGGAGCUUUUGCUGCAAUGGAGAGGGGAAUUUUCGUCUCUUGCUCCGCCGGUAACAGCGGACCCAAUAAAGCCACUUUGGCUAAUGUGGCUCCUUGGAUCAUGACCGUUGGAGCAAGAGACGAAAAAUCCCCUCUNNNNNNNNNUCUGUUGGGUAACAAUAACCGGUUUACUGGCGUUUCUCUCUAUAGUGGAACGGGAAUGGGA